This 329-nucleotide unclassified non-coding RNA is filed under the name soil metagenome. Its description in RNAcentral is "partial contains 5.8S ribosomal RNA, internal transcribed spacer 2, and large subunit ribosomal RNA". The stretch from base 1 to 120 matches the Rfam family "5.8S ribosomal RNA", at positions 35 to 154 of the family's 154-position model. The record is from RNAcentral.
GAUGAAGAACGCAGCGAAAUGCGAUAAGUAAUGUGAAUUGCAGAAUUCAGUGAAUCAUCGAAUCUUUGAACGCACAUUGCGCCCCUUGGUAUUCCGAGGGGCAUGCCUGUUCGAGCGUCAUUUCACCACUCAAGCCUGGCUUGGUGUUGGGCGACGUCCUCUUUGGGGACGCGCCUCGAAACGCUCGGCGGCGUGGCACCGGCUUUAAGCGUAGCAGAAUCUUUCGCUUUGGAAGUCGGGGCCCCGUCUGCCGGAAGACCUGCUCGCAAGGUUGACCUCGGAUCAGGCAGGGAUACCCGCUGAACUUAAGCAUAUCAAUAAGCGGAGGA